RNAcentral lists this ribosomal RNA (476 nucleotides) under Rakaia minutissima. RNAcentral describes it as "partial 16S large subunit ribosomal RNA". Lineage: Eukaryota; Metazoa; Arthropoda; Arachnida; Opiliones; Pettalidae. The record is from RNAcentral.
UUCUUUUAGAUUUAAUUGAAAGUAUCCUCUGCUCAAUGAUUUAUUAAAUAGCAGCAGAUUUCUGUUCUAAGGUAGCAUAAUCAAUUGUCUUAUUAAUUGUAGACUUGUAUGAAAGAGGGAAUAAUUUAUGACUUUAUUUUCUGUAUUUAUUUAAAUUAAUUUUUUAGUAAAAAAGCUAAAAUGAAAUAUAGGGACAAGAAGACCCUAUAAAGCUUAAUAAUUUGAGUAAUUUUGAUAUUAUUUAAAUUAUUUGUUGGGGCAAUAUAUUAUUAUAAAAAUUAUAAUAAUAAUAGAUAAAUUAAUAUUGUUGAUCCUAUUAUAUAGAUAAUUUGAAAGAGUUACUUUAGGGAUAACAGGAUAAUUUUUAUAAGAAAGUACAAAUUUUUUAUGAAGAUUAUUACCUCGAUGUUGAAUUAAUUAUAUAAUAGGGAGAAAAAAUUCUAUGUAUUUGACUGUUCGUCAAUUAAAAAAUUACA